AUUCCAGCUCCAAUAGCGUAUAUUAAUGUUGUUGCAGUUAAAAAGCUCGUAGUUGAAUUUCUGGUUAAAAUCUUAGCUGGCUUUGGUCGUUAAUGUUUUAAUCAUACGUUAGAGAACUAUAACCGUCCUUAACUGGUCAUUAUAGAGAUCUAACAUUUUACUUUGAAAAAAUUAGAGUGUUUCAAGCAGGCAAUUGCAGGAAUACAUUAGCAUGGAAUAACGAAUGGGUCUACAAUUUGGUUGAUUGUAGAUUGCGAUUAAUAGGGACAGUUGGGGGCAUUGGUAUUUAAUUGUCAGAGGUGAAAUUCUUGGAUUAGUUAAAGACUAACGUAUGCGAAAGCAUUUGCCAAGGAUGUUUUCAUCG
Molecule: ribosomal RNA, 364 nt
Filed under: Loxophyllum sp.
Lineage: Eukaryota; Ciliophora; Litostomatea; Pleurostomatida; Litonotidae
Description: partial small subunit ribosomal RNA
Rfam family: Eukaryotic small subunit ribosomal RNA
Source: RNAcentral